GUUAACGCGUGAAGCUAACAAUGAGAAGGGAGAAACCAUUUCCCCACCCAUUUCAACACUCAAUAAGGAGAAAACCCUUCCCUCCAAGCCCCACUAUCGCCUUAGUCGGAGGUACACUGACAACAUUUUCACCGUCGGUCGUCAAUAUUUCCGAAGUUUGUACCCAGUUUUCCCAAAUCACACACUUUCUGUUGGAGUAUUGCAUUACACAUUGACAACAUGGAAUUAAAAAGAAGAGAACAAAAGUCGAAGAUAGAAGAAUAGCCUGCUGGGAAGACAAUUUAGUUACUUUCUGUUAUACUAGUUGGAAGAGUAGUUCGUUUUUGUUGUUCUAGCUGGAAGAGGAGUUAGUUACUUUCAGUUCUUUUUGUUAGUUCAGUUCAAUGUAUUCUGGUGUCAAGUUGUAGUAUAAAUAUAGCCCAAGUCCGCUGUAAACAAUAAUUUUCAGAAUUUCAUUUCAGUUCAUUGAUGAAAUUGAAUUUUCUUCUUCACGUUUUUUUCCCAUUGUAUUCCACCUUGAUCUUGAGCUUGAAUCCAUCUGAUUCUCAAGAUGGUAUUAGAGCUUUAAUUCAUCAAAUCAACGAUUCCGCAACAUUAUCUUCUUGAAUUGGUG
This 613-nucleotide long non-coding RNA is filed under the name Olea europaea (common olive). RNAcentral describes it as "long non-coding RNA (OEUR_LNC012664)". Lineage: Eukaryota; Viridiplantae; Streptophyta; Magnoliopsida; Lamiales; Oleaceae. The record is from RNAcentral.